UACGAAGGGGGCAAGCGUUGUUCGGAAUUACUGGGCGUAAAGGGCGCGUAGGCGGCUCUGAUAGUCAGGCGUGAAAGCCCCGGGCUUAACCUGGGAACUGCGCUUGAUACUGCGGAGCUUGAGUUCGGGAGAGGAGAGUGGAAUUCCCAGUGUAGAGGUGAAAUUCGUAGAUAUUGGGAAGAACACCAGUGGCGAAGGCGGCUCUCUGGACCGAUACUGACGCUGAGGCGCGAAAGCGUGGGGAGCAAACAGG
This 253-nucleotide ribosomal RNA is filed under the name uncultured bacterium. RNAcentral describes it as "partial 16S ribosomal RNA". It matches the Rfam family "Bacterial small subunit ribosomal RNA", at positions 524 to 776 of the family's 1533-position model. The record is from RNAcentral.